CACAUGCAGUCGAGCGGUAACAGAGAGUAGCUUGCUACUUUGCUGACGAGCGGCGGACGGGUGAGUAAUGCUUGGGAAUAUGCCUUUUGGUGGGGGACAACAGUUGGAAACGACUGCUAAUACCGCAUGAUGUCUACGGACCAAAGUGGGGGACCUUCGGGCCUCACGCCAAAAGAUUAGCCCAAGUGGGAUUAGCUAGUUGGUAAGGUAAUGGCUUACCAAGGCAACGAUCCCUAGCUGGUUUGAGAGGAUGAUCAGCCACACUGGGACUGAGACACGGCCCAGACUCCUACGGGAGGCAGCAGUGGGGAAUAUUGCACAAUGGGCGCAAGCCUGAUGCAGCCAUGCCGCGUGUGUGAAGAAGGCCUUCGGGUUGUAAAGCACUUUCAGUCAGGAGGAAAGGGUGUGUUUUAAUAGAGCACAUCUGUGACGUUACUGACAGAAGAAGCNCCGGCUAACUCCGUGCCAGCAGCCGCGGUAAUACGGAGGGUGCGAGCGUUAA
This 502-nucleotide ribosomal RNA is filed under the name bacterium fme08x93p393. RNAcentral's name for it is "bacterial SSU rRNA". It matches the Rfam family "Bacterial small subunit ribosomal RNA", at positions 52 to 543 of the family's 1533-position model. The record is from RNAcentral.